RNAcentral lists this ribosomal RNA (761 nucleotides) under uncultured bacterium. RNAcentral describes it as "bacterial SSU rRNA". It matches the Rfam family "Bacterial small subunit ribosomal RNA", at positions 151 to 927 of the family's 1533-position model. The record is from RNAcentral.
CCGAAAGGGAGAUUAAUACCGCAUAAUAAUCAGUUUUCACAUGGAGAUUGAUUUAAAGGAGUAAUCCGCUUUGAGAUGGACCCGCGGCGCAUUAGCUAGUUGGUAGGGUAACGGCCUACCAAGGCGACGAUGCGUAGCCGACCUGAGAGGGUGAUCGGCCACAUUGGAACUGAGAGACGGUCCAGACUCCUACGGGAGGCAGCAGUGGGGAAUAUUGCACAAUGGGCGAAAGCCUGAUGCAGCAACGCCGCGUGAGUGAAGAAGGUUUUCGGAUUGUAAAGCUCUGUCUUUGGGGACGAUAAUGACGGUACCCAAGGAGGAAGCCACGGCUAACUACGUGCCAGCAGCCGCGGUAAUACGUAGGUGGCGAGCGUUGUCCGGAAUUACUGGGCGUAAAGAGUGCGUAGGCGGAUAUUUAAGUGAGAUGUGAAAUACCCGGGCUUAACCCGGGCACUGCAUUUCAAACUGGAUAUCUAGAGUGCGGGAGAGGAGAAUGGAAUUCCUAGUGUAGCGGUGAAAUGCGUAGAGAUUAGGAAGAACACCAGUGGCGAAGGCGAUUCUCUGGACCGUAACUGACGCUGAGGCACGAAAGCGUGGGUAGCAAACAGGAUUAGAUACCCUGGUAGUCCACGCCGUAAACGAUGAGUACUAGGUGUAGGAGGUAUCGACCCCUUCUGUGCCGCAGUAAACACAAUAAGUACUCCGCCUGGGAAGUACGAUCGCAAGAUUAAAACUCAAAGGAAUUGACGGGGGCCCGCACA